Molecule: ribosomal RNA, 977 nt
Filed under: uncultured fungus
Lineage: Eukaryota; Fungi
Description: eukaryotic LSU rRNA
Rfam family: Eukaryotic large subunit ribosomal RNA (bases 613-977)
Source: RNAcentral
GGAAGGAUCAUUAUCGUACAACUGAGGUGCGAGGGCUGUCGCUGACCUUGUGUCGUGCACGCCCGAGUGCUCUCAAACAUCCAUCUCACCCCUAUGUGCACCACCGCGUGGGUCCCCUUUUGGCUCGUUCAGAGGGGGGCUCGCGUUUUCACACAAACUUGAUACAGUGUAGAAUGUCUUCCUUUGCGAUCACACGCAAUUAAUACAACUUUCAACAACGGAUCUCUUGGCUCUCGCAUCGAUGAAGAACGCAGCGAAAUGCGAUACGUAAUGUGAAUUGCAGAAUUCAGUGAAUCAUCGAAUCUUUGAACGCACCUUGCGCCCCUUGGCAUUCCGAGGGGCACACCCGUUUGAGUGUCGUGAAAUUCUCAAAAACCUUUCUUUGGAAAGGAUUUUGGACUUGGAGGCCUUUUGCUGGUUUCACCUUGAAGCGAGCUCCUCCCAAAUGGAUUAGUGGGGUCUGCUUUGCUGAUCCUUGACGUGAUAAGAUGUUUCUACGUCUUGGGUUUGGCACUGUCACUUGGGCACCCGCUUCUAACCGUCUCAUCGACAAUGAUGGCGUUCCGGUCGACCACCGUUUCAUCGGUGGGAGGCUUGACCCACCACAAACCUUGACCUCAAAUCGGGUGAGACUACCCGCUGAACUUAAGCAUAUCAAUAAGCGGAGGAAAAGAAACUAACAAGGAUUCCCCUAGUAACUGCGAGUGAAGCGGGAAAAGCUCAAAUUUAAAAUCUGGUGGCCUUUGUCCAUCCGAGUUGUAAUUUAGAGAAGCGUCUUCCGCGCUGGACCGUGCACAAGUCUCCUGGAAUGGAGCGUCGUAGAGGGUGAGAAUCCCGUCUUUGGCACGGACACACCAGGGCUUCUGUGAUGCGCUCUCGAAGAGUCGAGUUGUUUGGGAAUGCAGCUCAAAAUGGGUGGUGAACUCCAUCUAAAGCUAAAUAUUGGCGAGAGACGAUAGCGAACAAGUACCGUGAGG